RNAcentral lists this long non-coding RNA (710 nucleotides) under Homo sapiens (human). Its description in RNAcentral is "HSALNT0291842". Lineage: Eukaryota; Metazoa; Chordata; Mammalia; Primates; Hominidae. The record is from RNAcentral.
CCGGGUGCUUCAGGGUCCGAGAACCUGCAGAAGUUCACACUUAAAUCCUACACGAGAGUCGUAUUUAUGAUGCAGAACUCGAUGGAGAAACGGAGGCCCAGGGAAGGGAUGUGCCCGAGGUCAUACAAAGAAGUUUGUGGGAAUCCAGGUCUGACUCGCACUCAAUCUAGUGCUCUAAUAAUGACUUGAGUGAAUUGUAUGAAUGUGCUCAGAGGUGGAGCAGCAAUCAUAAAAGUAAUAAUGGUACCAUUUAUGGACCAUCUAACUACUGUGUUAAAACAAUUUACAGGCCAUGCGCGGUGGCUCACGCUUGUAAUCCCAGCACUUUGGGAGGCCGAGGCGGGCAGAUCACGAAGUCAGAAGAUCGAGACCAUCCUGGCUAACACGGGACUCAAGACUGGAAUGGGAAGAGCAUGAAAUUGAGCUGUCUAUCCCCCUGGAUCUCUCAUUGCCACCUGCCCAUAGGUUGGCUGCACCCCUCCACCAAAGAAAGGCCAUGACUCCUUCCUGGCAGCCCUGUCUUACAGCUACUCUCUGGUGAUCUGGGAACCACUCCCUCCCUUACCCCUUGAUGCCUAGGGCUAGUGCCAGCACCUUGUUGUUGUUAGCCUCAGAGGCACUUGCACUGUUCCUUGAUGGUUUUCCCAAAUCUUGCCCUCAUCUUUGUAAAUACUGUUUGCCGUUUAUUACACUGUCAUCAUAUUACCCAA